This 1343-nucleotide ribosomal RNA is filed under the name uncultured bacterium. RNAcentral describes it as "16S ribosomal RNA". It matches the Rfam family "Bacterial small subunit ribosomal RNA", at positions 28 to 1378 of the family's 1533-position model. The record is from RNAcentral.
GACGAACGCUUUCGGCGUGCUUAACACAUGCAAGUCGAACGGAAAGGCCCUGCUUUUGUGGGGUGCUCGAGUGGCGAACGGGUGAGUAACACGUGAGUAACCUGCCCUUGACUUUGGGAUAACUUCAGGAAACUGGGGCUAAUACCGGAUAGGAGCUCCUGCUGCAUGGUGGGGGUUGGAAAGUUUCGGCGGUUGGGGAUGGACUCGCGGCUUAUUAGCUUGUUGGUGGGGUAGUGGCUUACCAAGGCUUUGACGGGUAGCCGGCCUGAGAGGGUGACCGGCCACAUUGGGACUGAGAUACGGCCCAGACUCCUACGGGAGGCAGCAGUGGGGAAUAUUGCACAAUGGGCGGAAGCCUGAUGCAGCAACGCCGCGUGCGGGAUGACGGCCUUCGGGUUGUAAACCGCUUUCGCCUGUGACGAAGCGUGAGUGACGGUAAUGGGUAAAGAAGCACCGGCUAACUACGUGCCAGCAGCCGCGGUGAUACGUAGGGUGCGAGCGUUGUCCGGAUUUAUUGGGCGUAAAGGGCUCGUAGGUGGUUGAUCGCGUCGGAAGUGUAAUCUUGGGGCUUAACCCUGAGCGUGCUUUCGAUACGGGUUGACUUGAGGAAGGUAGGGGAGAAUGGAAUUCCUGGUGGAGCGGUGGAAUGCGCAGAUAUCAGGAGGAACACCAGUGGCGAAGGCGGUUCUCUGGGCCUUUCCUGACGCUGAGGAGCGAAAGCGUGGGGAGCGAACAGGCUUAGAUACCCUGGUAGUCCACGCUGUAAACGGUGGGUACUAGGUGUGGGGUCCAUUCCACGGGUUCCGUGCCGUAGCUAACGCUUUAAGUACCCCGCCUGGGGAGUACGGCCGCAAGGCUAAAACUCAAAGGAAUUGACGGGGCCCCGCACAAGCGGCGGAGCAUGCGGAUUAAUUCGAUGCAACGCGUAGAACCUUACCUGGGUUUGACAUGGAUCGGGAGUGCUCAGAGAUGGGUGUGCCUCUUUUGGGGUCGGUUCACAGGUGGUGCAUGGCUGUCGUCAGCUCGUGUCGUGAGAUGUUGGGUUAAGUCCCGCAACGAGCGCAACCCUUGUUCACUGUUGCCAGCACGUUAUGGUGGGGACUCAGUGGAGACCGCCGGGGUCAACUCGGAGGAAGGUGGGGAUGACGUCAAGUCAUCAUGCCCCUUAUGUCCAGGGCUUCACGCAUGCUACAGUGGCUGGUACAGAGAGUGGCGAGCCUGUGAGGGUGAGCGAAUCUCGGAAAGCCGGUCUCAGUUCGGAUUGGGGUCUGCAACUCGACCUCAUGAAGUCGGAGUCGCUAGUAAUCGCAGAUCAGCAACGCUGCGGUGAAUACGUUCCCGGG